RNAcentral lists this transfer RNA (72 nucleotides) under Neobacillus sp. SuZ13. RNAcentral describes it as "tRNA-Lys". It matches the Rfam family "tRNA". From Rfam's summary of the family: Transfer RNA (tRNA) molecules are approximately 80 nucleotides in length. Their secondary structure includes four short double-helical elements and three loops (D, anti-codon, and T loops). Lineage: Bacteria; Bacillati; Bacillota; Bacilli; Caryophanales; Bacillaceae. The record is from RNAcentral.
ACCGCAGUAGUAAAGUGGCAGUCCAUUUGGCGUUUAACCGAUCGGUCGUAGGUUCGAGUCCUACCUGCGGAG